GACGAACGCUGGCGGCGUGCUUAACACAUGCAAGUCGAACGGAAAGGCCCUGCUUGCAGGGUACUCGAGUGGCGAACGGGUGAGUAACACGUGGGUGAUCUGCCCUGCACUUCGGGAUAAGCCUGGGAAACUGGGUCUAAUACCGGAUAUGACCUUCCAUGUAGUGUGGGGGGUGGAAAGAUUUAUCGGUGUGGGAUGAGCCCGCGGCCUAUCAGCUUGUUGGUGGGGUAAUGGCCUACCAAGGCGUCGACGGGUAGCCGGCCUGAGCGGGAGGACGGCCACAUUGGGACUGAGAUACGGCCCAGACUCCUACGGGAGGCAGCAGUGGGGAAUAUUGCACAAUGGGCGGAAGCCUGAUGCAGCGACGCCGCGUGGGGGAUGACGGCCUUCGGGUUGUAAACCUCUUUCGACAGGGACGAAGCUUCGGUGACGGUACCUGUAUAAGAAGCACCGGCUAACUACGUG
RNAcentral lists this ribosomal RNA (465 nucleotides) under uncultured bacterium. RNAcentral describes it as "partial 16S ribosomal RNA". It matches the Rfam family "Bacterial small subunit ribosomal RNA", at positions 28 to 507 of the family's 1533-position model. The record is from RNAcentral.